CUACGGGUGGCUGCAGUGGGGAAUAUUGGACAAUGGGGGAAACCCUGAUCCAGCAAUGCCGCGUGUGUGAAGAAGGCCUGCGGGUUGUAAAGCACUUUCGGUUGGGAGGACUGCUUCUAGCACUAAUAUUGUUGGAAGUUGACGUUACCUUCAGGAGAAGCACCGGCUAACUCCGUGCCAGCAGCCGCGGUAAUACGGAGGGUGCAAGCGUUAAUCGGAAUUACUGGGCGUAAAGCGCGCGUAGGCGGCUAGAUCAGUCGGGUGUGAAAGCCCCGGGCUUAACCUGGGAACUGCAUCCGAUACUGUCUAGCUUGAGUACAGGAGAGGAGAGUGGAAUUCCACAUGUAGCGGUGAAAUGCGUAGAUAUGUGGAGGAACACCAAUGGCGAAGGCAGCUCUCUGGCCUGAUACUGACGCUGAGGUGCGAAAGCGUGGGAAGCAAACAGGAUUAGAUACCCCCGUAGUC
RNAcentral lists this ribosomal RNA (465 nucleotides) under uncultured bacterium. RNAcentral's name for it is "partial 16S ribosomal RNA". It matches the Rfam family "Bacterial small subunit ribosomal RNA", at positions 339 to 795 of the family's 1533-position model. The record is from RNAcentral.